UAUAUAUAUAUAUAUAUAUAUAUAUAUAUAUAUUCUUUUUUUUAUUAUUAUUAAACACAAAAUAAAGAACUACUGCAAGAUUCUUAUUAUACCAGAAUGUACAAAAAUUGCCAAAAAUGAAGAUACAAGAGUUUGGCUUAUUAUUUCUUCCCUUUUAUUUUUCACAUUAUAUGUGUAUAUACAGCUCUGAAUAAAAAUAAGAGAGCACUUAAAAAUGAUGAGUUUCUUUGAUUUUACCAAAUUAAAAACCUCUGGAAUAUAAUCAAGAGGAAGAUGGAUGAUCACAAACCAUCAAACCACCAAACUGAACUGCUUGAAUUUUUGCACCAGGAGUAAAGCAGCAUAAAGUUAUCCAAAAGCAGUGUGUAAGACUGGUGGAGGAGGAGAACAUGAUGCCAAGAUGCAUGAAAAAAACUGUGAUUAAAAACCACCAGGGUUAUUCCACCAAAUAUUGAUUUCUGAACUCUUAAAACUUUAUGAAUAUGAACUUGUUUUCUUUGCAUUAUUUGAGGUCUGAAAGCUCUGCAUCUUUUUUUGUAUUUUUUUUUUUUUUUUUUUGGAAUUUGGGAGAAAUGUUGUCUGUAGUUUAUAGAAUAAAACAACAAUGUUCAUUUUACUCAAACAUAAAUCUAUAAAUAGUAAAAUCAGAGAAACUGAUUCAGAAACUGAAGUGCUCUCUUAAUUUUUUUUCAGAGCUGUAUAAGAACUACUGCAAGAUUGACAUUAUGCCAGAAUGUACAAAAAAUGGCAAAAAUGAGGAUACAAGAGCAACACAUUGGGGCUAAUUUGUAUUUAAUAUUAUGGUCUGUUCUAUUUCUAUUCGACCGAUCCACAAAGAAGUGAUUUAAAUGUGUUUUUUUAUUAUUAUUACUAUUUUUUCUUCCCUUUAAUUUUUUUGUUGUUUACAUUAUGUGUGUAUAUAUAUGUAAUAUGUGUGCCUGCGAUAUCCCUGCACUGCUGUGUGUAUUUAGGUCUGUUUAUCCCGUUUGUUUGUUUCUUUCUUUGAUUGUUUGAUGGUUUGUUUGAUGGUUUGUUGGGCUGUAAGUGGGUGUAGAGGGUUGAGAUGUUGCACUAGCUGCUGAGCUCAGGCUCACAGAGAAUGUGGAUAAGAUGAUUGUUGAGCUCUGUUAGCUCUGUUAGCUUUGUUAGCUCUGUUAGCGGUAGCGCCACCCUGUCUGAAGCUAAUGCGGGUCAGGCUAAUGUGUGUGUGUGUGUGUGUGUGUUAGGGUUGUCGAUGCUACUCCCUGUAUCAGACCUGUAUGGUCUCUAAAUAUUUUGGCACUAAUGAGGGGUGUGAUUACUUUCGCACAGCCUGGUUGUCGUGGUUCAGUGGGGGGGCGUGGUUCGUGUGAUUGGUUUGAGGAGUGUUAGGGGAUAAACCCUACAGGAUGCAGUUUCAGUCUGUGUCCAGCGGGAGGCGCUUUCCUCACAUUCAUCAUUGGUUUGGGCUGAGGGUCUUGCAGCUAUGCAACAAUUUCAGAUUAAAAUACGUUAAAUUUUACACUUCUAACUAUUUUAGAAGGUGAAAAUUUUAAAAUUGGCUUUGUCACAAUCGAUUUUACCGUGUUAGAAUUCAUUUCACAACGCUUGAAUUGGUUUUAGCAUGUUAAUAUUGAUUUUAUAAUGGUAGGAUUCAUAGCAGAGGGUUAAAAUCAAUUUUAACCUGUUUAAAGGGAUUUAAGCAUGGGCCUAUGGAUUUCAAAAUGUCAGGAUUUUAGUUUUUAAAAAUCUUUUUUUUUCUAAAAAGAAGUAAAAUAAACACUUUAUGUUAAAAUUGAUUUAGCAGGUUAGACACGAGUUUGCAUUUGGUUUUAGCAUGUUAGAAAUAAUUUUAAAAUACUCUAAUAAAACUCUUAUCAAUAUCAAAUCUUCUAAUUGAUUAUAGUAUAACAAACAUUUUUGGAAUUGGUUUCAGAAUGCUGUAAUUGAUUUUAAACCGCUUGGAUAGAUUUUUGAAUGGAUCGAAUGUUAGAAUCAAUUUUAACAUAAAUAUUUUAGGAUUAAUUUUAGAAUGCUAGGACUGAUUUUGGACUGAUAGGUUUGAUUUUAGAAUAUUAGUACAGAUUUCUGAAUGGUAGAAUUGGCAUGAUAUUUUAUUUGCUUCUAUUUUAGAACUGAUUUUAGAAUGUUGCAGUCGAUUUUAGCAUGCUAGAAUCAAUUCUGUCAUAUUAGGAACUCUUUUAGAAUUCAUUUCUGAAUGUUUAAGGAUAAAGUUUCAGGUGUAGAAUGUUAGAUUCAGCUUUAUACCAAUUAGAUUUUCUCACUUUGAAUGUUGUAACUAAUUUAAAAAGUGUACUUUUAUAAAAAUGACUGAAAUCAUGCACUACUUGUACUGUUUACAAUUUGCUUAAUCCAUUUUAGUAUUCCUCUUUUGUUCUCUUUUCUUUGUUUUCUCUUAUUUUCAGACUGACUUAAGCAUCAUACAUUCAUACAAAUGAAGAAUUGAAUCAAAUUAAAUGUUAAUUUUUGAUUAAUCACUGUUAGUUAAUUCAUGGUUGUUUUAAAAUUAGCUGAAGUGAACGCAGCUUUCUGGACGUUCACAGGCCCCUCAGCAUAAACCAAUAUGAAUCCAGGAGGACUGGGUUCAGUACCGGGUGCAGGGUACUUGGCGGGGUACUAUGCGGGGUACUGGGACGCGUGUGUUGUGUGAUUUGUCCGUGGAAAAUGAUGUCAGCACUUUAGUGACCUCACCGUUUUUUGGGUGCAGGUUGGCGAAAUCUACCUGUGAGGUAACAGACGGGCAAACCUUCCAGGCCAUGUGCUCCAGCGCAGACAAUCAGAGGAGGAACGUGCACUAAUGUUCUAGCAGAAGUAUUAGCAUUGUUAGCUAGCUAGCUAAGCCACUGCAAACUUUCCAGCUUGGCUUGAUUUCUGCGUGCCUGAGCUAAUGCGGGUUUAAGAAGCGUCUACUGGGGUCAUUUUUUUGGCUGAAUGGGGAAUCAGUUGUCUGAAGUUAGUCUCCAGUAUCGCUUAACGACUAGCUUUCGGUACCGACCGCUAGUGCUAACGUACUCUUGCAAAAAUCCAGUGGCGGUAUAUAAGCAUGGACGCCUUGGCGCCUUUUCGGACUCGGAACGUAUUAAUUUGGUAGCCUUGCCCCUUUCUCCCAGACCAUGCCCAAGCAUACUGUAGUCUCAGACUGCCUUCAUUGAGUUUACAAAACACACAAGCGGAGGAGGAACGUGCACUAACGUUCUAGUAGAAGUAUUAGCAUUGUUAGCUAGCUAGCUAAGCCAUUGCAAACCUUCUAGCUUGGCUUGAUUUCUGCGUGCCUGAGCUGAUGCAGGUUCUGCAAGUGUCUAUUUGGGUCGUUUCUGAAUGGGGAAUCAGUUGUUUGAAGUUAGUCUCCUGUAUCGCUUAACGACUAGCUUUCGGUACCGACCGCUAGUGCUAACGUACUGUUGCAAAAAUCCAGUGGCGGUAUAUAAGCAUGGACGCCUUGGCGCCUUUUCGGACUUGGAACGUACUCAUUUGGUAGCCAUGCCCCUUCUCACAGACCAUGCCAGUAGCUUAGCAAGCUAGCUAACUAACUUAGCUAGCUAGCUAGCUAAGCUACUGCAAACUUUCCUGAGCUAAUGCAGGUUCUCCAAGCAUCUAUUUUGGUCGUAUUUUGACUGAAUGCUGAACCAGUUGUUUGAAGUUAAGCUCUUGUAUCGAUUUAUAACUAGCUUUCGGUACUGACCGCUAGCGUUAACAUACUGUUGGAAAAUUCCAACAUACAGUAAUGUUCUUGGAGAAGUAUUAGCAUAUUAGCAUAACUUUCCGGCUUUGCUUGUUUCUACAAAGCUAAUGCAGGUUCUGCUAGUGUCUCUUUGUGCAAGUUGUUUAAAGUUAGCCUACUGUAUCCCUGUACAACCUGCUUUGGGUACCAACAGCUAAUGCUAACGUUAUGCUAAUGCUAAUGCUAUGUCCGCCAUGUUGACAAAUUUGCAACCAGAGUCUCUGCCCUUAUUCCAGACUAAUCUCAAGUGUCUCAGACCGCCUGCAUUGAGUUUACAGUGUAGCCUAAAGUACCAGAAGCAGUUUAUCCUUUAAGCUAACAACUUUUGGUUAGUAGAAUGUUUUCUGAACGUUACAUUUAGCGUUCUUAGAAUGUUAUUUUCUGGAUGUUUCUAGAAUCUUUUUAUUUAUUGCUUUGAACUUUCUGUAACGUCAUCGAGUUAACGACACUUCAAAGCGUCCAGUUUUUAUUUAGUUUUAACUUUUAACAUUUCCCUAAUGUUGGUAUACGUCUAGUUGGGAAUGCUAUGUGAGAAGCGGUCUAAUAACGUUUUAAUGCAAACCAUUGUUACGUCACAAGUUUUCAGAAUGUUCUUGGAACGUCAUUUCCGUAACGUUACAGGUUAACAUUUCUGGUACCUUUUCAAAAGGUUGCUAAACAUUCUUUUAACAUUUUCUAACAUUAGCUGGAUGCUCCCUAUAAUAAAGGUGAUUGGUCUGUUCUAGACAAGGCUGCCGCCUGUCAAUCACUUGAUGAUGUAGCCCCGCCUACUUGUUGCAAUAUAGAAGAAUAACACUGUUGGAAUUGUUGGAUACUGGAGAGAAAAAGACAGUUUAGAAUAGAGAAAUUUGAUGUGAGAUGGGAAAUGGGCGGGGCUUUUUUAUGUAAUUAAAACAUAUGGGAAUGGUUGGAGCUACCCGUCAUUCUGCAACCAGCCAGCAGAGGCGCUAGACUUGUGGUGGCUUUAUGUUUAAGAGACUUUUGAGAGACGUUGCGCUGUCCAUGCUUAUGUACAGUUACUGUAAAAACCUGCAAGACAAUGCUAGUCCACGGGUGUAAAACAGCUAGCUAGCGAUAUAGCCUAUAGGCUAACUAACGUUACGUUACGUUCUAGGCUAACUACCUUUAGCGGCCAGGCUUCUUUCAGUAUGGCAAUACUGUGUGAAUGAGAUAAUUCAGUACAUGUGCUUCAGAGUUUUAAAGUGUGAAACACGUAAGUCCUUUAAAAAAAAAAAACGUUGUUUACGACUUCAGACGACACUUUAGACUUUAAACGUGAAAUACCACCGACUACAUCCUGAUACGACUAAAUCAUUCACAUUUUAUCAGCCAAUCGAUUUCCUCCACCAACGACAGAUUCUGGUUUGGGUUGAAGUUGUGUAGUUCAAGUGAUUUAAUUCCUUUUCAAAUGCAAUACUGAAAAAAAAAACUGCUUUCUAAUAAAAGUCCUUAUUUCACCAAAAA
Molecule: long non-coding RNA, 5185 nt
Organism: Astyanax mexicanus (Mexican tetra)
Lineage: Eukaryota; Metazoa; Chordata; Actinopteri; Characiformes; Acestrorhamphidae
Exons: 2
Source: RefSeq, a predicted model, not a curated record